AUAUUUCUUGUUUGUGUGUCCUCCAGGAGACAUUUUCAGUUCCUUUCCUUUUGUCAGUUUAAUAAGAAGUGACAUGAUAAAAACUGGUGGUGAUCAAAAGGCUACAGUAUAUCAGUUUGGCAAGAGAUGGGAUUUUAUGGUAUAUAGUUGUACUUGGCUAUUCAUCAUGUGAUGCUUUCAGUAGAAUUCCCCCUCUCCACCCCACCAAAGAGCAGAAAGAACAGUCUCAAAUAAAACUCCUGACUCAAAUUAAAGCCUCCAGUCUCUCUCCUUUUGUGGUAUGGGUAUGCAGCAAUGCCUGAAAACCUGGAAAAUAUCCCAUCAAGAGAUAAUGCACCAGCGCCAAGAACAAACUGAAGAGUUAGUUAUGUGUUUGAGUUAUAUUGCUGACCAUGCAGGAAGUUUAAGUCCAGCAGCCUUCCCUCACAAGAUCAGGGUGACAGUCCCCCCAGGGCAUAGUGAUUUCAAAGUACAGUUUGGCUCUGUCCUUUCACUAGGAAGGUGAUUCUCUCAUUAAGUUAUUGCUUGUCUAGAUGGGCCCAAGGUUCAAACACAAGGGGUGGUAUUUUUCCUAUUUGUUCGUAGUUUAGCCUGGUAUUUUUGGGUUGGCUGUGGGUUAGUCUCUGCUCAGCCAGCAGCUGUAAUGGCAAGUUCAAAGAGUCCCUAAACCAAAAGAAAACAUUAGUUUGUUAAUUCAUUCUUGUGUUACCAGGAAUUUCCAUUAAUUUGACUUGGAAAAUAUGCCUAAUUCCACUGAAACGUUCUCCAGUCAGUUUCUGAUAUAAAGGAUCAGAUGGUGGCCAUCGUGGACUGUGACUUUGGGUCACAAGCCAAUGACUAGAAGUUUGGGGUGGGGGUAACUGAAAUAUCAGAUGAGGUGAUUAGAGGAAAUAGACUUCAUGCUUGGCAGGAUCUUCAUCUUUAAGGUUUUGUUGACGAUAGAAUUUGUUCAGUUUAUACACCUGCUGGAGUAGUGCUUUAUUGGAAUUUGGAUCAGUCGCUGAGGAUAAUUUAAACAGCUGGGUAAUAGAGAGAAUAAUAAAAAGAAAGAAAAGCAAAAUCA
Molecule: long non-coding RNA, 1063 nt
Filed under: Chrysemys picta bellii (western painted turtle)
Lineage: Eukaryota; Metazoa; Chordata; Testudines; Emydidae
Description: lncRNA (ENSCPBG00000022863.1)
Source: RNAcentral